GAGAUGCUCCAGGCCCUUCACCAUCUUUGUGGCCCUCCGCUGGACUCUUUGCAAGAGAUCCCUGUCUUUUUUGUACUGGGGAGCCCAGAACUGGACACAGUACUCCAGAUGAGGCCUUACCAGGGCAGAGUAGAGGGGGAGGAUCACCUCCCUCGACCUGCUGGACACGCUCUUCUUAAUGCACCCCAGAAUGCCAUUGGCCUUUUUGGCCACGAGGGCACACUGCUGGCUCAUGGCCAACCUGUCAUCCACCAGGAUGCCCAGGUCCCUCUCUGCAGAGCUCCUCUCCAGCAGCUCAUCCCCCAGCCUGUAUUGGUGCAUGCAAUUAUUCCUCCCUAGGUGUAAGACCCUACACUUGCUUGUGUUGAACCUCAUCCGGUUUCUUAUUGCCCAGCUCUCCUGGCUCAUGGCCAACCUGUCUCGCUGAAUGGCAGCACAGCCUUCAGGCGUGUCAGCCAACCCUCCCAACUUCAUAUCAUCAGCAAACUUGCUGAGGGUGGCCACUAUCUGCUCGUCAAGGUCAUUGAUGAUGUUGAACAAGACCGGACCCAGCACAGUGGGACUCCACAAAAGUCCUGGUUCUUUUCUUCAAAUGAAGAAAACUAAUGCCUGCUGGACAAUUUGAGGAGCUGCCUCUGGCCAUUUGUUGUUAGUUACUUCACUCCUGGUCAGGCUAUAGCCAUCUCCAACAUCUGUAACCCAAUGAAUGCAUGGGCAAUCAUGCAACCAAGACUAAGUGCAAGUGAGAUAUUUAUGUCCAAAUCAGGAAGUGAUUUUAGUCCAUUUUUAAUGUCAAUACACGAUCAGAUCCAAUCAAAAGAAAAUGCUUGAUUUAACCUCUGGUUUUACAUGAUUUACGGAUACUGAGCUCUUGUCUGUGAUGUGACCAUUUACAGAGACACUAGCAAUGUCCAGCCAAACAAUAUUCUAGAUGAAAUGCAGCAUUGUUGCUUUCACGUUCACUUAUGGAAGGUUUUGAUCUUCCCAACCAGAGAGAGAUGACUGCCAGCAAGUCGUCAACUCCCUUUUCUCAGAAAGAGUUUGAAGCCCUGGCACUGCUGGAACACCUACAAGUGCAGCUUAUAGAAACAGAAAUCCGUGCUCAGAAUGCAGAGCAGAGAUCUGAAGAUUUUGAGAAGAAGCUGGAAGAAGCCCUAGAGAGAAUCCAGGAGCUAGAGAGUGAGCUGGAGAAAAGGGGCAAAGUUGUCCCAGAACCAACACCUAAAGAAGGGCAAGAAAAAUGUUUACAAGAAAGCUUGCCUGAAGGGGAAGCCUGCUCAACUCCCAAAACUUCCACCUCUGGCCAGCCCAAGCAAUACCAGAAAAAGCAAAAAAUAAAAAAUAACAAUACCUGA
This 1355-nucleotide long non-coding RNA is filed under the name Meleagris gallopavo (turkey). RNAcentral describes it as "lncRNA (ENSMGAG00000022764.1)". The record is from RNAcentral. Lineage: Eukaryota; Metazoa; Chordata; Aves; Galliformes; Phasianidae.